RNAcentral lists this ribosomal RNA (496 nucleotides) under uncultured bacterium. Its description in RNAcentral is "partial 16S ribosomal RNA". It matches the Rfam family "Bacterial small subunit ribosomal RNA", at positions 28 to 506 of the family's 1533-position model. The record is from RNAcentral.
GACGAACGCUGGCGGCGUGCCUAAUGCAUGCAAGUUGAGCGCUGAAGGUUGGUACUUGUACCAACUGGAUGAGCAGCGAACGGGUGAGUAACGCGUGGGGAAUCUGCCUUUGAGCGGGGGACAACAUUUGGAAACGAAUGCUAAUACCGCAUAAAAACUUUAAACACAAGUUUUAAGUUUGAAAGAUGCAAUUGCAUCACUCAAAGAUGAUCCCGCGUUGUAUUAGCUAGUUGGUGAGGUAAAGGCUCACCAAGGCGAUGAUACAUAGCCGACCUGAGAGGGUGAUCGGCCGCAUUGGGACUGAGACACGGCCCAAACUCCUACGGGAGGCAGCAGUAGGGAAUCUUCGGCAAUGGACGAAAGUCUGACCGAGCAACGCCGCGUGAGUGAAGAAGGUUUUCGGAUCGUAAAACUCUGUUGGUAGAGAAGAACGUUGGUGAGAGUGGAAAGCUCAUCAAGUGACGGGAACUACCCAGAAAGGGACGGCGAACUACGU